Molecule: ribosomal RNA, 468 nt
Filed under: uncultured bacterium
Lineage: Bacteria
Description: partial 16S ribosomal RNA
Rfam family: Bacterial small subunit ribosomal RNA
Source: RNAcentral
GAUGAACGCUGGCGGCGUGCUUAACACAUGCAAGUCGAACGGUGAAGGCGGAGCUUGCUCUGCUGGAUCAGUGGCGAACGGGUGAGUAACACGUGAGCAAUCUGCCCCUGACUCUGGGAUAAGCGCUGGAAACGGCGUCUAAUACUGGAUACGAGCUGCGAAGGCAUCUUCAGCAGCUGGAAAGAACUUCGGUCAGGGAUGAGCUCGCUGCCUAUCAGCUUGUUGGUGAGGUAACGGCUCACCAAGGCGUCGACGGGUAGCCGGCCUGAGAGGGUGACCGGCCACACUGGGACUGAGACACGGCCCAGACUCCUACGGGAGGCAGCAGUGGGGAAUAUUGCACAAUGGGCGAAAGCCUGAUGCAGCAACGCCGCGUGAGGGACGACGGCCUUCGGGUUGUAAACCUCUUUUAGCAGGGAAGAAGCGAAAGUGACGGUACCUGCAGAAAAAGCGCCGGCUAACUACGUG